Molecule: ribosomal RNA, 486 nt
Filed under: Triticum aestivum (bread wheat)
Lineage: Eukaryota; Viridiplantae; Streptophyta; Magnoliopsida; Poales; Poaceae
Description: partial small subunit ribosomal RNA
Source: RNAcentral
AUGUACAACGGCAUCGGGCUGCAGACGGCGCGCGGGUCCGGCACGAAUGGGCACGUCCAGACCAACAAGUUCUUCAUCCAGCCCCGGACCGGCGGCCCGCCGCCCAAGGCCCACAGCCACGACGACGGCGCCGCCGGGAUGAGGAAGCCGAACAAGGAGAUCCUGGAGCACGACCGGAGGCGGCAGGUGGAGCUGCGGCUGGUCGAGCUGAGGGACACCCUCGAGGAGCUGGGUUACACGGAAGGCGAGAUCGAGGAGCGCGUCGAGGAGGCGCGCAAGGAGGCCGAGCUGCAGACUGCCGCGCCGCGUCCGGUGGAAGGGUUCACGAGCACGCAGAGCCACCAUGUCGCAGCACGCAAGGAGAAGAAGCUCGAGACGCUGAGGGCUGCUCUUGGGCUAGAUGCUGAGGUUGGACAGAAGAAGAGUUCUCAAGUAGACAAUGAUCCGGAGUCUGGGGAGCUUGUACCUGCGAAGGAUGGAUUCUGA